GACGAACGCUGGCGGCGUGCCUAAUACAUGCAAGUAGAACGCUGAAGGAGGAGCUUGCUUCUCUGGAUGAGUUGCGAACGGGUGAGUAACGCGUAGGUAACCUGCCUGGUAGCGGGGGAUAACUAUUGGAAACGAUAGCUAAUACCGCAUAAGAGUAGAUGUUGCAUGACAUUUGCUUAAAAGGUGCAAUUGCAUCACUACCAGAUGGACCUGCGUUGUAUUAGCUAGUUGGUGAGGUAACGGCUCACCAAGGCAACGAUACAUAGCCGACCUGAGAGGGUGAGCGGCCACACUGGGACUGAGACACGGCCCAGACUCCUACGGGAGGCAGCAGUAGGGAAUCUUCGGCAAUGGACGGAAGUCUGACCGAGCAACGCCGCGUGAGUGAAGAAGGUUUUCGGAUCGUAAAGCUCUGUUGUAAGAGAAGAACGAGUGUGAGAGUGGAAAGUUCACACUGUGACGGUAUCUUACCAGAAAGGGACGGCUAACUACGUG
This 495-nucleotide ribosomal RNA is filed under the name uncultured bacterium. Its description in RNAcentral is "partial 16S ribosomal RNA". It matches the Rfam family "Bacterial small subunit ribosomal RNA", at positions 28 to 507 of the family's 1533-position model. The record is from RNAcentral.